GCUGAUCUUUGUUAGGUGAGGCUACUGCAUGGAAAUACGCCCCUACCCGGAAACAUCGAGAGAUGCCAAUGGGUCAACAGGCUUUAUCGGGUUAAGGUAUAGCUUAACGGGGCUGGGUAAUCCUAAGCCAUGCAGUGCUAAAACUCAACGAGUAAAAGACAGUC
This 164-nucleotide small RNA is filed under the name Alkalibacter saccharofermentans. Its description in RNAcentral is "Magnesium sequence". It matches the Rfam family "M-box riboswitch aptamer (ykoK leader)". Rfam says of the family: M-box riboswitch, also know as ykoK leader is described as a metaloregulatory RNA that sense divalent metals and function as a genetic control element of genes related to divalent metal transport in bacteria. It was first reported upstream of the B.subtilis ykoK gene and genes with related functions in other bacteria. Phylogenetic analysis of the distribution of M-box RNAs across bacterial genomes revealed that M-box riboswitches are most often employed for the regulation of Mg2+ transporter genes Lineage: Bacteria; Bacillati; Bacillota; Clostridia; Eubacteriales; Eubacteriaceae. The record is from RNAcentral. RNAcentral also lists the same sequence under 1 other name.